Rhagoletis pomonella (apple maggot) is the source of this 584-nucleotide long non-coding RNA. RefSeq lists it as uncharacterized. NCBI's taxonomy places the organism in Eukaryota, Metazoa, Arthropoda, Insecta, Diptera, Tephritidae. The record is from RefSeq and is a predicted model, not a curated record. The transcript has 2 exons.
UUAUCGAACCUUGUAUUAUUGCAUCAUGAUUGUGGACUUAAAAUGGAAAACUCGCGUACCAAAAAUUUUUCUUCUGAAGAAAUAGAAAGUCUUAUGUGCCUUAUACGACAACAUGCCCACAUUUUGGAAAAUAAAUCGACAGAUAAAGUGAAACCUGCUUAGAAGGAAAAGGAAUGGGAGAAAGUGGAGGAAAGCUUCAACGCAAUGUGUCCGGGCCAAAAAAGAAGUGCACGCGCUUUGCGAACAAAUACGCAAAUUUAAAAUGGGAAAUGCGGAAGCGCAGUGCUCAAAAGAAACAAUCUUUAUAUGGAACCGGUGGUGGCCCUCCGCUAAAACACAACAUUUGGAGUGUGAUAUUGUUGACCAGGCUUUAAAAGAAAUUUUACCGGAAAAUCAGACCGACGGUUUGAAGUCAUCGUAUGCGAAGUUUUAGAUGACGAUAUCUUUGUAAUAGAUCCAAUUGGAACAGACGAUUUGGCGCUGCAACAAAAUGAAGCAAAAUUGUUUGAUGAAGGUGCAUACAUACAUAUGUAAAAUCAAUUUUAUUCGUGUAAAUAUAUGAUUUAUGUUUUUCUUAUAACCCU